GACGAACGCUGGCGGCGUGCCUAAUACAUGCAAGUGGGACGCAAGGGAACACACUGUGCUUGCACACCGUGUUUUCUUGAGUCGCGAACGGGUGAGUAACGCGUAGGUAACCUGCCUAUUAGCGGGGGAUAACUAUUGGAAACGAUAGCUAAUACCGCAUAAUAUUAAUUAUUGCAUGAUAAUUGAUUGAAAGAUGCAAGCGCAUCACUAGUAGAUGGACCUGCGUUGUAUUAGCUAGUUGGUAAGGUAAGAGCUUACCAAGGCGACGAUACAUAGCCGACCUGAGAGGGUGAUCGGCCACACUGGGACUGAGACACGGCCCAGACUCCUACGGGAGGCAGCAGUAGGGAAUCUUCGGCAAUGGACGAAAGUCUGACCGAGCAACGCCGCGUGAGUGAAGAAGGUUUUCGGAUCGUAAAGCUCUGUUGUAAGUCAAGAACGUGUGUGAGAGUGGAAAGUUCACACAGAGACGUAGCUACCA
RNAcentral lists this ribosomal RNA (481 nucleotides) under Streptococcus mutans. RNAcentral describes it as "bacterial SSU rRNA". It matches the Rfam family "Bacterial small subunit ribosomal RNA", at positions 28 to 485 of the family's 1533-position model. Lineage: Bacteria; Bacillati; Bacillota; Bacilli; Lactobacillales; Streptococcaceae. The record is from RNAcentral.